This 1153-nucleotide ribosomal RNA is filed under the name Gerronema nemorale. Its description in RNAcentral is "partial large subunit ribosomal RNA". It matches the Rfam family "Eukaryotic large subunit ribosomal RNA", at positions 56 to 1551 of the family's 3401-position model. Lineage: Eukaryota; Fungi; Basidiomycota; Agaricomycetes; Agaricales; Porotheleaceae. The record is from RNAcentral.
CGACAGACUACAGGAUUCCCCUAGUAACUGCGAGUGAAGCGGGAAGAGCUCAAAUUUAAAAUCUGGCAGUCUCUGGCUGUCCGAGUUGUAAUUUAGAGAAGUGUUGCCCGCGCUGGACCGUAUACAAGUCCUCUGGAAUGAGGCGUCAUAGAGGGUGAGAAUCCCGUCUUUGAUACGGACUACCAGUGCUUUGUGGUGCGCUCUCGAAGAGUCGAGUUGUUUGGGAAUGCAGCUCAAAAUGGGUGGUAAAUUCCAUCUAAAGCUAAAUAUAGGCGAGAGACCGAUAGCGAACAAGUACCGUGAGGGAAAGAUGAAAAGAACUUUGGAAAGAGAGUUAAACAGUACGUGAAAUUGCUGAAAGGGAAACGCUUGAAGUCAGUCGCGUCGUUCAAGAAUCAACCUUGCUUUUGCUUGGUGUACUUUUUGUUCGACGGGUCAGCAUCAGUUUUGACCAUUGGAUAAGGGCCAAGGAAAUGUGGCAUCUUCGGAUGUGUUAUAGUCUUUGGUCGUAUACAGUGGUUGGGACUGAGGAACUCAGCACGCCGCAAGGACGGGUCUUUGACUACGUUACGUGCUUAGGAUGCUGGCAUAAUGGCUUUAAUCGACCCGUCUUGAAACACGGACCAAGGAGUCUAACAUGCCUGCGAGUGUUUGGGGUGGAAAACCCGAGCGCGCAAUGAAAGUGAAAGUUGAGAUCUCUGUCAUGAGAGCAUCGACGCCCAUACCUGAUGUUUACUGACGGAUAUGCGGUAGAGCAUGUAUGUUGGGACCCGAAAGAUGGUGAACUAUGCCUGAAUAGGGUGAAGCCAGAGGAACUCUGGUGGAGGCUCGUAGCGAUUCUGACGUGCAAAUCGAUCGUCGAUUUGGGUAUAGGGGCGAAAGACUAUCGACCAUUUUUGCUACUAUGGUGGUAGAGGCUACUGAAAGGUUUAGCUAGUGAGAGUGAGUCUGCGACAUGUCAAAUGCGGGACAUCUAUAGAGCUUUGCUACGCUGCUACAUGAACAUGUAGAUUGCACAGUAUGACUCGGAUGUAAACGCAGAAUGACAUCCGCAGCAGUCUGUAAUGGAUGCAUUCAGACUAGAAUGCAUGACCUAAGUAGCUUAGAAUAUCGUCGGUGCAAGCACUGCGGGAGACUGAGUUGUUACUCACUG